RNAcentral lists this long non-coding RNA (485 nucleotides) under Homo sapiens (human). RNAcentral's name for it is "long intergenic non-protein coding RNA 1339". The record is from RNAcentral. Lineage: Eukaryota; Metazoa; Chordata; Mammalia; Primates; Hominidae.
GAAGAGGAAGAUCGACCAGAGCUCUCUCUCUCUUCUCUAGGCAUGUGCUCUGAGAAAAGGUCAUCUGAGGACAAAGUACCCGUCUGCAAGCCAGGAAGAGAGCCCUUGCCAGAAACUAAACCCCGCUGGAAACUUGAUUUUGCGCUUUCCAGCCUCUAGAACUAAUAUGUGAAAAACAUUUAAAUCAGAAAGUAAAUGACAGGAUGAUUUGCAAGACACAGGGAUGUAAAAUUAAAAAGCCUCUCGAGCUCCAAAGCUACCUGUUAACUUCAACAAGCACACUGGCCUGGAGACUACAUGAUGGUGUAUCAGUAAUGGAUUUACAACUGCAAACAUCUCAAGCAGCAGUGCCACAUCCCUGCUACCUCCCUGCUUGUGCGUGUGUCCCUACAUUAUCCAAAAUAGGGGUGGGCUAAUGACGAUUGCAGGCUAACUCCAGCCUACCACUUGCUUCUAUAAAUAAAGUCUUAUUGUACACAAACAUA